Molecule: ribosomal RNA, 156 nt
Filed under: Triticum aestivum (bread wheat)
Lineage: Eukaryota; Viridiplantae; Streptophyta; Magnoliopsida; Poales; Poaceae
Description: partial small subunit ribosomal RNA
Source: RNAcentral
AUGAAAUUAAGGUGGAGAGUCCUGCAGGAGACAUGCACAUGCCUGAAACAGUCGUUGGUACAGCUCCUCCGCUGCAUCAACUAUGCUGGGACAAAUUCAUCUGCUAGACUGAAAAUAGAUGUUAGAUUACUUCGUGGCAAGAACCUGAAAACAUAA